RNAcentral lists this ribosomal RNA (423 nucleotides) under Verrucomicrobiota bacterium. Its description in RNAcentral is "Verrucomicrobia bacterium partial 16S ribosomal RNA". It matches the Rfam family "Bacterial small subunit ribosomal RNA", at positions 355 to 776 of the family's 1533-position model. The record is from RNAcentral. Lineage: Bacteria; Pseudomonadati; Verrucomicrobiota.
UGAGGAAUAUUGGUCAAUGGACGCAAGUCUGAACCAGCCAAGUAGCGUGCAGGUUGACGGCCCUAUGGGUUGUAAACUGCUUUUAUAUGGGGAUAAAGUGGGGAACGUGUUCCCUUUUGCAGGUACCAUAUGAAUAAGGACCGGCUAAUUCCGUGCCAGCAGCCGCGGUAAUACGUAAGGUCCGAGCGUUGUCCGGAAUCAUUGGGCGUAAAGGGUACGUAGGCGGAUAAGCAAGUUAGAAGUGAAAUCCUAUAGCUCAACUAUAGUAAGCUUUUAAAACUGCUCAUCUUGAGGUAUGGAAGGGAAAGUGGAAUUCCUAGUGUAGCGGUGAAAUGCGCAGAUAUUAGGAGGAAUACCGGUGGCGAAGGCGACUUUCUGGCCAUAUACUGACGCUGAGGUACGAAAGCGUGGGUAGCAAACAGG